GCUCGGUGACACCGGGGACACACAACACGGGCGAGCGGCCGCGGCUGGAGCAACAAAGGAGCCGAGGACCGAGAAGAAUGAAGCACAGGUUGUGAGCGGUCAUCCAUUCCGUAUCUUCAUUGCAGCUGAGAAAACCAAGUCCCAGCAGGGCUAAGCCAUUUGUUUAAAGUGAACUGGGAGUUUGUGCCAAGCUGGUGAGGAAGCUGUCCUGGAAAUAAGACAGCCAGGCUAGUAGUAGGGUGAAUGGGGGUGCUGCCUUCCCUGUGUGGCUGGACAGCUGCACUGGGAGUCAGGAAGCCACUGUGACUUUGGAAAGUCACUUAACUUUUCUGGGCCUCUGGGGGUUUUGUGUGUGUGUGUGUGUGUGUGUGUUUUUUUGUUUGUUUGUUUGUUUGUUUUU
This 400-nucleotide long non-coding RNA is filed under the name Homo sapiens (human). RNAcentral describes it as "HSALNT0313847". The record is from RNAcentral. Lineage: Eukaryota; Metazoa; Chordata; Mammalia; Primates; Hominidae.